GGAUGUGAUCAUACCAGCAUUAACGCACCGGAUCCCAUCAGAACUUCGAAGUAACGCGUGCUUGGUCGAGAGUAGUACUUGGAUGGGUGACCCCCUGGGAAGUCCUCGGGUUGCAUCCC
Molecule: ribosomal RNA, 119 nt
Organism: Capsicum annuum
Lineage: Eukaryota; Viridiplantae; Streptophyta; Magnoliopsida; Solanales; Solanaceae
Source: RefSeq, a predicted model, not a curated record